RNAcentral lists this ribosomal RNA (497 nucleotides) under uncultured bacterium. RNAcentral's name for it is "partial 16S ribosomal RNA". It matches the Rfam family "Bacterial small subunit ribosomal RNA", at positions 28 to 507 of the family's 1533-position model. The record is from RNAcentral.
GAUGAACGCUGGCGGCGUGCCUAAUACAUGCAAGUCGAGCGAACAGAUGAGGAGCUUGCUCCUCUGACGUUAGCGGCGGACGGGUGAGUAACACGUGGAUAACCUACCUAUAAGACUGGGAUAACUUCGGGAAACCGGAGCUAAUACCGGAUAAUAUAUUGAACCGCAUGGUUCAAUAGUGAAAGACGGUUUUGCUGUCACUUAUAGAUGGAUCCGCGCCGCAUUAGCUAGUUGGUAAGGUAACGGCUUACCAAGGCAACGAUGCGUAGCCGACCUGAGAGGGUGAUCGGCCACACUGGAACUGAGACACGGUCCAGACUCCUACGGGAGGCAGAGGUAGGGAAUCUUCCGAAAUGGGCGAAAGCCUGACGGAGCAACGCCGCGUGAGUGAUGAAGGUCUUCGGAUCGUAAAACUCUGUUAUUAGGGAAGAACAAAUGUGUAAGUAACUAUGCACGUCUUGACGGUACCUAAUCAGAAAGCCACGGCUAACUACGUG